Molecule: ribosomal RNA, 301 nt
Filed under: uncultured bacterium
Lineage: Bacteria
Description: partial 16S ribosomal RNA
Rfam family: Bacterial small subunit ribosomal RNA
Source: RNAcentral
CAGCCGCCGCGGGAAUACGAAGGGGGCUAGCGUUGCUCGGAAUUACUGGGCGUAAAGGGCGCGUAGGCGGACAGUUUAGUCAGAGGUGGAAGCCCAGGGCUCAACCUUGGAAUUGCCUUUGAUACUGGCUGUCUUGAGUACGGGAGAGGUGUGUGGAACUCCGAGUGUAGAGGUGAAAUUCGUAGAUAUUCGGAAGAACAUCGGUGGCGAAGGCGACACACUGGCCCGUUACUGACGCUGAGGCGCGAAAGCGUGGGGAGCAAACAGGAUUAGAUACCCCUGUAGUCCCUGUCUCUUAUAC